UAACAUCGCGGUGUAAACAUAGCGGGGC
This 28-nucleotide small RNA is filed under the name Bombyx mori (domestic silkworm). RNAcentral describes it as "ovarian small RNA-18649". The record is from RNAcentral. Lineage: Eukaryota; Metazoa; Arthropoda; Insecta; Lepidoptera; Bombycidae.